GUAGGGAAUCUUCCACAAUGGGCGAAAGCCUGAUGGAGCAACGCCGCGUGUGUGAUGAAGGGUUUCGGCUCGUAAAACACUGUUGUAAGAGAAGAAUGACAUUGAGAGUAACUGUUCAAUGUGUGACGGUAUCUUACCAGAAAGGAACGGCUAAAUACGCGCCAG
Molecule: ribosomal RNA, 165 nt
Filed under: uncultured bacterium
Lineage: Bacteria
Description: partial 16S rRNA
Rfam family: Bacterial small subunit ribosomal RNA
Source: RNAcentral